Molecule: ribosomal RNA, 775 nt
Filed under: uncultured bacterium
Lineage: Bacteria
Description: bacterial SSU rRNA
Rfam family: Bacterial small subunit ribosomal RNA
Source: RNAcentral
GUGCCAGCAGCCGCGGUAAUACGUAGGGUGUGAGCGUUGUCCGGAUUUAUUGGGCGUAAAGGGCUCGUAGGUGGUUGAUCGCGUCGGAAGUGUAAUCUUGGGGCUUAACCCUGAGCGUGCUUUCGAUACGGGUUGACUUGAGGAAGGUAGGGGAGAAUGGAAUUCCUGGUGGAGCGGUGGAAUGCGCAGAUAUCAGGAGGAACACCAGUGGCGAAGGCGGUUCUCUGGGCCUUUCCUGACGCUGAGGAGCGAAAGCGGGGGGAGCGAACAGGCUUAGAUACCCUGGUAGUCCACGCUGUAAACGGUGGGUACUAGGUGUGGGGUCCAUUCCACGGGUUCCGUGCCGUAGCUAACGCUUUAAGUACCCCGCCUGGGGAGUACGGCCGCAAGGCUAAAACUCAAAGGAAUUGACGGGGCCCCGCACAAGGGGGCGGGAGCAUGCGGAUUAAUUCGAUGCAACGCGUAGAACCUUACCUGGGUUUGACAUGGAUCGGGGAGUGCUCAGAGAUGGGUGUGCCUCUUUUGGGGUCGGUUCACAGGUGGUGCAUGGCUUGUCGUCAGCCUCGUGUCGUGAGAUGUUGGGUUAAAGUCCGCAACGGAGCGCAACCCUGGUCACUGUUGCCAGCACGUUAUGUGGGAACUCAGUGGAGACGCCGGGUCCACUCGGAGGGAAGUGGGAUGACGUCAGUCAUCAUGCCUUAUGUCAGGCUCACGCAUGCUACAUGCUGGUACGAAGUGCGAGCUGGAGUGACGAUCUCGAAGCGGUCUCAGUCGA